This 252-nucleotide ribosomal RNA is filed under the name uncultured Pelagophyceae. Its description in RNAcentral is "partial Eukaryotic large subunit ribosomal RNA". It matches the Rfam family "Eukaryotic large subunit ribosomal RNA", at positions 3064 to 3321 of the family's 3401-position model. The record is from RNAcentral. Lineage: Eukaryota; Pelagophyceae.
UUUUUGCGGCUGUCUGACCAGGCAGUGCCGCGACGCUACCAUCUGCCGGAUAAUGGCUGAACGCCUCUAAGCCAGAAUCCGUGCCGGAACGCGGUGAUACCGCCCCGCACGUCGUAGUUGGAUACGAAUAGGCCUUCGGGCCAUGCACCUCAGCAGGCUGGCGACGGCUCCCGGGGAGAAACCCUCGGGAGCUGGCUAGCGGAUUGUAAUGUCACCUCGCGCGGGGAUAGAUCCUCUGCAGACGACUGAAGU